Molecule: transfer RNA, 73 nt
Filed under: Phytophthora fallax
Lineage: Eukaryota; Oomycota; Peronosporomycetes; Peronosporales; Peronosporaceae
Description: tRNA-Lys
Rfam family: tRNA
About the family: Transfer RNA (tRNA) molecules are approximately 80 nucleotides in length. Their secondary structure includes four short double-helical elements and three loops (D, anti-codon, and T loops).
Source: RNAcentral
AAAUAUAAAGCUCAGUUGAUAAAGCACCAGACUUUUAAUCAGAUAGUCUUGGGUUUAAAUCCCAAUAUACUUA